UACGUAGGGUGCAAGCGUUGUCCGGAAUUAUUGGGCGUAAAGAGCGCGCAGGCGGUCGUUCAAGUCGCGUGUGAAAGCCCCCGGCUCAACUGGGGAGGGUCACGCGAUACUGAUCGACUCGAAGGCAGGAGAGGGUAGUGGAAUUCCCGGUGUAGUGGUGAAAUGCGUAGAUAUCGGGAGGAACACCAGUGGCGAAGGCGACUACCUGGCCUGUUUCUUGACGCUGAGGCGCGAAAGCUAGGGGAGCAAACGGG
RNAcentral lists this ribosomal RNA (254 nucleotides) under uncultured bacterium. Its description in RNAcentral is "partial 16S ribosomal RNA". It matches the Rfam family "Bacterial small subunit ribosomal RNA", at positions 524 to 776 of the family's 1533-position model. The record is from RNAcentral.